This 614-nucleotide long non-coding RNA is filed under the name Homo sapiens (human). RNAcentral describes it as "HSALNT0142548". The record is from RNAcentral. Lineage: Eukaryota; Metazoa; Chordata; Mammalia; Primates; Hominidae.
GGCAGGUGGAGCGCGGGACGGCCCGGUGCGAGCCCCGCGGCCCCUCGGCGCGCCCAGGCCCGGAUCUCGGCCUGCGCCGUGCCGGGGACCAGAGGCGCCUGCGGAAACGCGGCGGCCGGGGAAGGAGGCACCGGCAGGGGCCCCGUGCCGCGCGGCCCCGGGCGCCCUGGAGAAUCUGGCCUCCUGGGCUGCCUGCCGGAACGCCUAGAGAAAGAUGCUUUGAAGGAGGGAAGCAGGGAGGAAAGGAAGACUUCAUAGAAAGCGACCGCCGAUCCGAAAGCUGCCUCUCCCAGCCCUCCUUCCACUCUCCGAGACCCAGUAUUUCAAUUUUCUGCUAAGCAUUAAAACAAUCUCCCCUUACUCCUCCUCUACAUAGCACAUUUUUUUAAACCAAAGAAACACCCCAAUGCCCAACAAUAAAGAGGAAUUAUUACAAUCAAGAGGAAUUGUUGCAAUUCUUCAUGCCUGCCUCUGUGCUAAGAGUGUAAGACGGCUAUCCUAAAUCCUCAUUAUCUACUUAGGCCGCCUUGCCUGAGCCCCCUCUGUCUAUUAUGAAGAAAGCUUCCAAGAGAUCCAAUCACAGAGAAAAAAUAAAUUUUCUAAUGGCUGCAGGG